CCCUGUGGAACUUCAAAACCAGCGGCCACCCCAAAAUACAUAACCCCCCACUGGGCUCACUUAUUCACUAAGCCACUGGCCCGCGUUUUUCGGUUGGGGCGACCUUGGAGAAAAACAAAUCCUCCAAAAAUUAGACCAUCCCUCUAGACUGAGAGCAACCCCUCAACGUGCUAAUAGCAACCAGACCCAAUAUAAUUGAUCCAUGGACCAAGCUACCCCAGGGAUAACAGCGCAAUCUCCCCCGAGAGUCCGUAUCGACGGGGAGGUUUACGACCUCGAUGUUGGAUCAGGACAUCCUAGUGGUGCAGCCGCUACUAAGGGUUCGUUUGUUCAACGAUUAACAGUCCUACGUGAUCUGAGUUCAGACCGGAGCAAUCCAGGUCGGUUUCUAUCUAUGA
This 398-nucleotide ribosomal RNA is filed under the name Sturnus vulgaris (Common starling). RNAcentral's name for it is "partial 16S ribosomal RNA". It matches the Rfam family "Bacterial large subunit ribosomal RNA", at positions 2089 to 2643 of the family's 2925-position model. The record is from RNAcentral. Lineage: Eukaryota; Metazoa; Chordata; Aves; Passeriformes; Sturnidae.